Molecule: ribosomal RNA, 254 nt
Filed under: uncultured bacterium
Lineage: Bacteria
Description: partial 16S ribosomal RNA
Rfam family: Bacterial small subunit ribosomal RNA
Source: RNAcentral
UACGGGGGGAGCAAGCGUUGUUCGGAUUUACUGGGCGUAAAGGGCGCGUAGGCGGCCACCGCAAGUCGACUGUGAAAUCUCCGGGCUUAACCCGGAAAGGUCAGCCGAUACUGCGGGGCUAGAGUGCAGAAGGGGCAACUGGAAUUCUCGGUGUAGCGGUGAAAUGCGUAGAUAUCGAGAGGAACACCUGCGGCGAAGGCGCCGCUCUGGGCCGUGACUGACGCUGAGGAGCGAAAGCGUGGGUAGCAAACAGG